UACGUAGGGGGCAAGCGUUGUCCGGAUUUAUUGGGCGUAAAGAGCGUGUAGGCGGCCAUACAGGUCCGUUGUGAAAACUGGAGGCUUAACCUCCAGACGUCGAUGGAAACCGUAUGGCUAGAGUCCGGAAGAGGAGAGUGGAAUUCCUGGUGUAGCGGUGAAAUGCGCAGAUAUCAGGAAGAACACCCGUGGCGAAGGCGGCUCUCUGGGACGGUACUGACGCUGAGACGCGAAAGCGUGGAGAGCGAACAGG
Molecule: ribosomal RNA, 253 nt
Filed under: uncultured bacterium
Lineage: Bacteria
Description: partial 16S ribosomal RNA
Rfam family: Bacterial small subunit ribosomal RNA
Source: RNAcentral